This 449-nucleotide ribosomal RNA is filed under the name uncultured bacterium. Its description in RNAcentral is "bacterial SSU rRNA". It matches the Rfam family "Bacterial small subunit ribosomal RNA", at positions 329 to 795 of the family's 1533-position model. The record is from RNAcentral.
GGCCAGACUCCUACGGGAGGCAGCAGUAGGGAAUUUUGCGCAAUGGGCGAAAGCCUGACGCAGCAACGCCGCGUGAUCGAGACGCCCUUCGGGGUGUAAAGAUCUGUCAGUGGGGACGAAACUUGACGGUACCCACAGAGGAAGCACCGGCUAACUCCGUGCCAGCAGCCGCGGUAAUACGGGGGGUGCAAGCGUUGUCCGGAAUCAUUGGGCGUAAAGAGUUCGUAGGCGGCACGUAAAGUCUGGUGUUAAAGGCAGAGGCUCAACUUCUGUACGGCACUGGAUACUUGCGAGCUAGAAUGCGGUAGAGGUAAAGGGAAUUCCUGGUGUAGCGGUGAAAUGCUUAGAUAUCAUGAAGAACUCCGAUCGCGAAGGCAAGUGUCCGGGGUGCAACUGACGCUGAGGCUCGAAAGUGCGGGUAUCAAACAGGAUUAGAUACCCUAGUAAUA